ACGUACUGGCAUUGUUGGUUUCUCCCUUCUGACGAACCAUGAUGUCAUUUAUUUGGUGUUGUGGGGAAUCAGGACUGUUACUUUGAAAAAAUUAGAGUGUUUAAAGCAGGCUCACGCUUGAAUACAUUAGCAUGGAAUAAUGAAAUAGGACGUUUGAUUCUAUUUUGUUGGUUUCUAGGAUCGACGUAAUGAUUAAUAGGGAUAGUUGGGGGCAUUAGUAUUCAAUUGUCAGAGGUGAAAUUCUUGGAUUUAUUGAAGACUAACUACUGCGAAAGCAUUUGCCAAGGAUGUUUUCAUUAAUCAAGAACGAAAGUUAGGGGAUCGAAGACGAUCAGAUACCGUCGUAGUCUUAACCAUAAACUAUGCCGACUAGGGAUCGGAUGAUGUUAAUUUUUUAAUGACUCAUUCGGUGCCUUACG
Molecule: ribosomal RNA, 419 nt
Filed under: uncultured Glomeromycotina
Lineage: Eukaryota; Fungi; Glomeromycota
Description: SSU rRNA
Rfam family: Eukaryotic small subunit ribosomal RNA
Source: RNAcentral